AGAUGAUGAGGAGGCACCAGCAAAAGAGACUGAGAAAGAGUGGGCAGGCAAAUGGAAGAAAGACCGGGCACAAUGAAGGGCAGGAUUAGAGUGCAGGGGCCAGCCAUGCCCUCCCGGGAGACUGGCCCCUAGCGCUGCCGGAGGGCAGAGAGUGGCACAUGGCUCAGCCUUUGGCACUCAGGUGAGGAAACUGAGCCUGAGACCGAACAAGGAUGAGGAAACUUGAGGCUCAGAAUGGUUAAUUACCUCGCCUAAGGUUACUGAUUAAUAAAUCACUGAGUAGAGACUGAAACCCACAUCUGUCUACCAGCAAAGGCUGUCCAUACUACACCAUGUUAUCUCCAAAUGAAACCUCAUAUGAAGUUGCUGCAGAAACUCUAUGGGAAAAAAAGACUUUUAGAUCUUCUGGAACUACAACAUCUAGUCUCCGUGAAUCUGCACCAUCUCUUAGCACUGGGUCCUGGGAGGAGGGGGUGCUUCCACCAGCUCCCUCCCCUUCUUCCUGCCAUGUUCCUACUUCCUAAGAAGCAAAGACAAACUUGAGUUAGGAUCAACAUGAGGAGCCCACAGUGGGUUAAUGUGACAGAUGCAUCUCCCUGGGUGGCAGAGUGGGCUUCUUGUGGGGUGACAGUCACUGAAGUAUGCUUCCAACUCGAGAGUCCUGGACAUGUGUGGACACGACAGUGUGCUGACCACGAGUGAAUGUAUAGGCAAGUCUUCCUGGAAAACAGGCCAUAUUUCUCACUGAGGCUCCCUGGAGUGGCUGGUGGUCACAGCACCCACCACUUGGACACUUUGUCCUGCUGAUACUAAUAAUAGCAAAUAGCAUUAUCAUCUGGCAGGCGCUCUUCUAAGUGCUUUACAAAUGUUGACUUGUGUAAUCCUCACAGCAGCACUAUGAGGUAGGGACUAUCAUUAAUCCUGUUUUAUAAAGGAAGAAACUGAGCAGAUAGCCUUUAAGUAACUACCCCAAAGUCAGAACAGAGGAGCCCUUCUCAACACAUCAGAGACACUUAGGGGUGCAGCAAUUCACACUGCUCAAACAGCCUUACAAAUACUAACUGAUGUGUGAAAAGGAUUGGAGUGUGUUCACAGACCCCAGCAUCUCAGAGCUGGAAGUUGUUUUAGAGACCCUCAGAUUCAGACCCUUCGUCUUAUGCACAAACUCCAGCCGAAAGAGGGACGGUAACUCAGUCAACAACAGCACUGAUGCUUUUGGGAGAUGCCUGCAGCUGUUUCCCAUGCUCCUGGCUUGGCACAAAGGCCUGCCCUCCCUGAGUCUCCCAGGGAUCUGCUGUUACCCCAGGAGCGCCCACCAGCAAGCUCACCAGUCCAGGGAGAGCCCAGCACUUUUCCACAUUCAGGUGUUCAUCGCCCUAAUCGUUUCUGAGGGAGGAAGGUGAACCCAAGGUAGAAAGUCCCCGCAACGACCAAAGCUGGUCUGUGCACUGUGGAGGUCCAGGACCAGCUACGGACAAAGAGCAGCCAUGAAUUCCUGCACUAGAAGGACAACUCCUUGAGGACAGGGAUGCUCUUCAUCUGAGCCCAGGAUCUGCCACCAAGCCAUCCUCCAAAGAUGUUGGUUAUACAACUACAAGCUAAGUCAAAGAGGAUCGGAGCCCAAACAGAGAAGACAGCUGUGGGUGUCAGAGGAGAAAAGACUGAAAGGGAAGCUGGAAAGAAAGGAAUGGGGAGAAAACCAGGAAAAAGGAUGGAGAGAGAGAGCUCAGAGCUGAGGAAAGCUGCACAAAAAUGCAAGAUCUGGAAACAGAUGGAAAGAAUUGUGAAAAGCAGAACUGGGCACACAUCCUUUAAAAUUCAGCCUUUAAAGAGGAUCUACUCCAAACCCCGCCUCUAUGGGGAGGAAAAUGAAGGUCCAUGUGGGGAAACGCUUGCCAAGAUAAUAUGCAGGGAGUUAAUGGCAGACCUAGGAUAAGAGUCUGAUAGAGUCAGACAAGGCCAAGUUUGAUUUCUGGCUAUAAGCUGUGUGAUAUUGGGCAAGUUAGUUUCUCACUCUGAGCUAUGGUUUCCUCAUCAAUGAAGAUGGGGUUAAUCGUGUCUCUAUCUCAUAGCCUUAUUGUAAGAAUUAAAUGAGAUGCUGUAAAUAAAGUUGCCUACAUGUGCCUGC
Molecule: long non-coding RNA, 2128 nt
Organism: Homo sapiens (human)
Lineage: Eukaryota; Metazoa; Chordata; Mammalia; Primates; Hominidae
Source: Ensembl